CACAAGCGGUGGAUGAUGUGGUUAAUUCGAUGCAACGCGAAAACCUUACCUACCCUUGACAUGUCAAGAAUUUUGCAGAGAUGUGAAAGUGCUCGAAAGAGAACUUGAACACAGGUGCUGCAUGGCCGUCGUCAGCUCGUGUCGUGAGAUGUUGGGUUAAGUCCCGCAACGAGCGCAACCCUUGUCAUUAGUUGCUACCGCAAGGAGCACUCUAAUGAGACUGCCGGUGACAAACCGGAGGAAGGUGGGGAUGACGUCAGGUCCUCAUGGCCCUUAUGGGUAGGGCUACACACGUCAUACAAUGGCCGGUACAGAGGGCUGCCAACCCGCGAGGGGGAGCCAAUCCCAGAAAACCGGUCGUAGUCCGGAUCGUAGUCUGCAACUCGACUGCGUGAAGUCGGAAUCGCUAGUAAUCGCGGAUCAGCUUGCCGCGGUGAAUACGUUCCCGGGUCUU
Molecule: ribosomal RNA, 454 nt
Filed under: uncultured Aquabacterium sp.
Lineage: Bacteria; Pseudomonadati; Pseudomonadota; Betaproteobacteria; Burkholderiales; Sphaerotilaceae
Description: bacterial SSU rRNA
Rfam family: Bacterial small subunit ribosomal RNA
Source: RNAcentral